Molecule: RNA transcript, 1654 nt
Organism: Prunus mume (Japanese apricot)
Lineage: Eukaryota; Viridiplantae; Streptophyta; Magnoliopsida; Rosales; Rosaceae
Source: RefSeq, a predicted model, not a curated record
ACAUAUGACCCUCGGACUGUGGAGAGAAGGACAAAAAAAAACAAACAAACAAACAUUAAAAAAAAACAAAAAACUCACAUACUACUUUCUCACCAGUUUCUUCUCCUCGCUUCCUCUAUUCAAGUUCUUUCUCUCUGCCUCCUCUCUUUAGCUAACCUCUCAAAAGCUCAGUAUUGCUUUUGAUUAAUCUGUUCAGGCUCCAAUAAUAUUUGUGCUAACGUUUCUCUUUGAUGACAUGAUUCUCUGAUCUGGGUCUUCUUUACUUGUUAUUCAGAUCCUAGUUUUCAAUUUCUUUUGGCUUCUGCUACUUCACUGUUGGAAAAGCCAGUAAUAGAAAACAGCCUAUUUGGUUCUUGGGUUUUUGUUAGUUUAUUGAUUGCUCUAAUCAGAUUGCGAGAAAUGGGUUUUGCCAAUAAGAUGCAGAAAGUGGAUAUUUGCUUUCAGAUUAAUGGUAGACAAAGAAAAUAAAUUGCUUUUGUCAAUCCUGGAUUUCUCUCUGUUUGGGACCUGAAAAAUCAAAAAAUUUUUCUAGUGUGGAAUUUUCUUCACGAGGUUUAUUUACUAUGGGUAGAGGUAGAGGUAAAGGGAAGAAACAAAGCAUUAUUGCUGUUCGUGAGGAUCCUGGAAGUGGUGAAGAGGAGAGGAUUCCACCAAACAGGAGAAGAGGAAGGCCACAUAAACCAUUAAAGGAAGAUAUUGGAGAAGGAGAAGAAGCUCAGAAGACAGAAGAUGUUGAGGAUGCAAAAAUUUAUGUUUCUAGCAAAGACAUGAAAAACCAAUCUGCCAUAGAGAAUGGAAGGAAAAGGAAGAGGUCUGCUCAGGUAAAAGAAAAUAUAAAAUCAGUCAAAGAGGAUAAAAACGUUGAAACAAAAUCAAAUCUUGAUGACUCGACAAAGUCUGUUGGAUUCCGACAAAAUGGGAGUAGGCGGAAAAACAAGCCUCACCGAGCUGCUGAAGCUGGUGUUCAGUGCAAAUGAGUUCAGUUUUGCUGUUGUGAUAGUUGCACACCUUCUUUGCCAUCAAUGGAUAAAUCAGAAGCAUGGAGAAGGGCUUUGUUGGUUCACCUAUCAUUCCUUAUAUUGCCUUCAUUAUAUGUUUUACAUUUCUAUAAAUUCUGAGUUCUUUCUUUUGCGAACAGAUGAUUUUGAUUGUGAGGUUUUGAAAUAUUCACUUGUGCCAUGCUAUUUGCUUCUGUUACUAGCCACAGACAUUUUCGUUAGCCUUACAAAAAUUUUCUCUGACAGCAUUCAUUUUGCUUGAACUUAGAUGAGGUUGCCUUCAUUUUUCGUUCUUCAUUUCUCUUUCCUGAAAAGGAAAAUAGAUUUGGGGAUAUUCGUUUCUCUUUCCUGGAAAGGAAAAUAGCUAGGGAGGGAGUAUACAUGCUUUCAAAUUAUCCAAAUUCCACCAGCAGAAUACACUGGUGCUUCGAUUCAGGCAGCUCACAAAAUGAAACUGAAGGCUUUUAUACCUGGAAACAGACCCAUACACCUGAAGUCUUGAAUAGAGAUAAUGGCCUUCACAAUGGAUUACAAGUGUUCACUGGAUUUUGUUGCGCAUUACUUGAACAUAUGUGUUUGGUGUUGGCUCUUCUAGCAGAUGAUAAUUGAGGAGACUCAAAUACUUAACAAGGGAAAACCAGGUGAGUUCAACGGUG